RNAcentral lists this ribosomal RNA (520 nucleotides) under uncultured Glomeraceae. Its description in RNAcentral is "SSU rRNA". It matches the Rfam family "Eukaryotic small subunit ribosomal RNA", at positions 569 to 1095 of the family's 1831-position model. Lineage: Eukaryota; Fungi; Glomeromycota; Glomeromycetes; Glomerales; Glomeraceae. The record is from RNAcentral.
AGCAGCCGCGGUAAUUCCAGCUCCAAUAGCGUAUAUUAAAGUUGUUGCAGUUAAAAAGCUCGUAGUUGAAUUUCGAGAUCAAAUUGUUGGUCGUGCCUCGGUACGUACUGGCAAUUUUGGUUUUCCCUUCUGAAGAACCAUGAUGUCAUUAAUUUGGUGUCUUGGGAAUCAGGACUGUUACUUUGAAAAAAUUAGAGUGUUUAAAGCAGGCUCGCGCUUGAAUACAUUAGCAUGGAAUAAUGAAAUAGGACGUUUGAUUCUAUUUUGUUGGUUUCUAGGAUCGACGUAAUGAUUAAUAGGGAUAGUUGGGGGCAUUAGUAUUCAAUUGUCAGAGGUGAAAUUCUUGGAUUUAUUGAAGACUAACUACUGCGAAAGCAUUUGCCAAGGAUGUUUUCAUUAAUCAAGAACGAAGUUAGGGGUCGAAGACGAUCAGAUACCGUCGUAGUCUUAACCAUAAACUAUGCCGACUAGGGAUCGGAUGAUGUUAAUUUUUAAUGUACUCAUUCGGCGCCUUACGGGA